CCCCCCUCAGGGUUACACCUGGAGGGUUUCCAGUACUCUACCAGUCUCUACUAUGGCGGGGAGAGUCAAGCAGAGGCAUACGCAUUCCAUUCCUAGCUUGGGCAGUGGCUAGUGAGUGGAAGGCCAUCUGCUACAAGA
RNAcentral lists this small nucleolar RNA (138 nucleotides) under Ornithorhynchus anatinus (platypus). Lineage: Eukaryota; Metazoa; Chordata; Mammalia; Monotremata; Ornithorhynchidae. The record is from RNAcentral.